GUUGCAUUCCUAUCUUUGCCCUGAUCUGAGGUAAAGGCAGAAUAAUGUAACCAAAUAUAGCACACACAGCAGGCAAUGGCAAAAGUACCAAGGGAAAAUAGUUAACUGAGGUACAUGCUACAGCCACUGCUGCAUGUGGGAGAGAAGAAAAUAGCACCUAUAAAUACAUACCCAUGACAACACCAGGAAACCAAAAGAACAUAUUACGGGUAUUAAGAUAAUAAUGAAGUGAACCUCCCCCGUUAAUUCUGUUUUGAACUCAAGCAUCUGCCAUAAGCAAUUGUUAAUCUUUCAUAACAGCAUCUAGUGCUGAAUUAAAGCUUUCCAGUAAGAAAGAAUGGACCCACUCUUUAGGGAGCUUCUGACCUUCAAAAAUAACAAUAAUUUAGAAAUUGUCUGAACUUUUUUAUGCCAAUCCACAUAAAACUGCAAAAGCAACAGCAGAAUGCUCUUCUUUCUGCACAGCAGUGCUGAAAGGCAUUAGUUGCAGAGCCACUUCAUCAAUUAUUGAUCACAUGCUACAUAAUUUCUUUCAUGAUUUUGCCUAAAACUCAUGACAGGCUAAACAAGGUCAUGGUUAUCCACAUUCAAGGUUUAUGGCUACUAGCAAACAAAAAGCUCUUUUCUACAUCUCCAAAACUUCACUAGCACUAAGAACAAGUAUCAUUGACCUUCAUAUAGGCCUAUGCCUUUGAAUUGUCUUUUGAUUGUCUUUGAAACAUGUAACUCUGUUAAAGUUUUAUUAUUUAACAACUAUUAAGUGCCAUUUUGAAAUUCUAUCUGAAUGCUGCUGAAAGAAAUUUCUACAUCAAUGUAAGAGAAAGACAUCAACCAACCUGCCCUUUUCCUGAUACACUGAAGCAAUAUUUAUUAAUCAUAUUUAUUCCAUGUUCUCUCCACAUUUUUUUCAUUCUUACCGUAUAUUGUCUGUUGCUGCUUUGAUUCCCCUUUGAUCCCAGGUCACUGAAAAAACUGAAAGAUUUUUCUUGUGGUGUUGGCCCAGGAUGCCUCUCAGAUAACUUUUACAUUCUUUUAUCAAUGUCUGCAUUUUCUAACAGUUAUGUUUUAUUCAUGACUAUCAUUUUCCCCAUUUAUUUUACAUAAACUAUAAACAUUGGUACAUGCA
This is a long non-coding RNA of Pezoporus occidentalis (night parrot), 1126 nucleotides long. RefSeq lists it as uncharacterized. Lineage: Eukaryota; Metazoa; Chordata; Aves; Psittaciformes; Psittacidae. The transcript has 2 exons. The record is from RefSeq and is a predicted model, not a curated record.